Molecule: transfer RNA, 74 nt
Filed under: Culex quinquefasciatus (southern house mosquito)
Lineage: Eukaryota; Metazoa; Arthropoda; Insecta; Diptera; Culicidae
Description: tRNA-Thr
Source: RNAcentral
GCAGUGCGUGGCCGAAUAGUUACGCUGUCCGCUUUGUAAGCGGAUGAUUCUGGGUUCGAUUCCCAUCUGCUCCA